UUCCUUUUCCUUUCCUUCUUUCCAAGUCUGUCUUGCUCUGGAAAACACAGCUGCCAGGCAUUCACCUACCUGUUCAUUUCCCUCCAGAGUAAUGCUUUUUAAGCAACAUAGCUGAACAAGCUUAAUAGAGGGGUAAAAAAAAAACUCUUAAAGCUUUUAAAUUCCUACAGGUUUCAUGAAAAGUGGAGCUU
This is a long non-coding RNA of Oxyura jamaicensis (ruddy duck), 191 nucleotides long. RefSeq lists it as uncharacterized. The record is from RefSeq and is a predicted model, not a curated record. The transcript is spliced from 2 exons. NCBI's taxonomy places the organism in Eukaryota, Metazoa, Chordata, Aves, Anseriformes, Anatidae.